RNAcentral lists this ribosomal RNA (253 nucleotides) under uncultured bacterium. Its description in RNAcentral is "partial 16S ribosomal RNA". It matches the Rfam family "Bacterial small subunit ribosomal RNA", at positions 524 to 776 of the family's 1533-position model. The record is from RNAcentral.
UACGUAGGGUGCAAGCGUUGUCCGGAAUUAUUGGGCGUAAAGAGCUCGUAGGCGGUCAGUCGCGUCUGCUGUGAAAACUCGGGGCUUAACUCCGGGCCUGCAGUGGGUACGGGCUGACUAGAGUGCGGUAGGGGAGACUGGAAUUCCUGGUGUAGCGGUGAAAUGCGCAGAUAUCAGGAGGAACACCGGUGGCGAAGGCGGCGUUCUGGACUGUUUCUGACACUGAAAAACGAAAGCCAGGGGAGCAAACGGG